Molecule: non-coding RNA, 342 nt
Organism: Pelobates cultripes (western spadefoot toad)
Lineage: Eukaryota; Metazoa; Chordata; Amphibia; Anura; Pelobatidae
Source: the annotation of a GenBank genome assembly
GGGGUGACUAGUGACAGAGUGAGGGAGUGGGUGACACAGUGACAGAGUUAGGGAGGGAGUGACUAGUGACAGAGAGAGGGAUGGGGUGACUAGUGACAGAGUGAGGGAGUGGGUGACACAGUGACAGAGUUAGAGAGGGCGUGACUAGUGACAGAGAGAGGGAUGGGGUCACCCCCUCCCUCACUCUGUCACUAGUCACUACCUUCCUCUGUCACCAGUCACUCCCUCACUCUGUCACUAGUCACCUAUUCCCUCCCUCACUUUGCCACUAGUCAUCUCUUCUCUCCCUCCCUCACUCUGCCACUAGUCACCCAUUCCCUAACUCUGUCACUAGUCACCCCC